GAUGAACGCUGGCGGCGUGCCUAAUACAUGCAAGUCGAGCGAACCACUUCGGUGGUGAGCGGCGAACGGGUGAGUAACACGUAGGUGAUCUGCCCAUCAGACGGGGACAACGAUUGGAAACGAUCGCUAAUACCGGAUAGGACGAAAGUUUAAAGGUGCUUCUGGCACCGCUGAUGGAUGAGCCUGCGGCGCAUUAGCUAGUUGGUAGGGUAAAGGCCUACCAAGGCGACGAUGCGUAGCCGACCUGAGAGGGUGAACGGCCACACUGGGACUGAGACACGGCCCAGACUCCUACGGGAGGCAGCAGUAGGGAAUCUUCGGCAAUGGGCGAAAGCCUGACCGAGCAACGCCGCGUGAAUGAUGAAGGCCUUCGGGUUGUAAAAUUCUGUUGUUGAGAAAGAAUUGUAAGAUUAGGAAAUGAGUCUUACUUGACGGUACUCUUCAAGAAAGCCACGGCUAACUACGUGCCAGCCGCCGCGGUAA
Molecule: ribosomal RNA, 483 nt
Filed under: uncultured bacterium
Lineage: Bacteria
Description: partial 16S ribosomal RNA
Rfam family: Bacterial small subunit ribosomal RNA
Source: RNAcentral